AUGCAGACCAAACCGUACAAAUUCCAUUCUAAUAUACAACUGAAAAAAAAAGGAUUUUCAAACCAUACAGAUACACUACUGCAUUACUCCAGUUCAUAUAAAUACUGCAGCACUCAUCUUGUUGAACAAAUCAUCUUUGGUAUAUCCAUCAUAGAUAUGGACUUUAUUUCUGGUGGAGAAGUACAGGAGUUUGCUGGUAAGGUCCGAGAAGAACAGCCGAUCGACAGAGACUCAGAGAGGCGGACCAGUGGCGCAAUCGGAGGGCUGCUGGCGGAGACCUGGGUGUGGGCUAGUGGACGUGAGAUACAGUUCAAGUCCUUCACCUUGUAA
Molecule: ribosomal RNA, 330 nt
Filed under: Triticum aestivum (bread wheat)
Lineage: Eukaryota; Viridiplantae; Streptophyta; Magnoliopsida; Poales; Poaceae
Description: partial small subunit ribosomal RNA
Source: RNAcentral